Prunus mume (Japanese apricot) is the source of this 1336-nucleotide long non-coding RNA. RefSeq lists it as uncharacterized. NCBI's taxonomy places the organism in Eukaryota, Viridiplantae, Streptophyta, Magnoliopsida, Rosales, Rosaceae. The record is from RefSeq and is a predicted model, not a curated record.
UAGAAAUAUAAAUACACAAGGAAGAAGCAUAAACAAAAAUGAAAUACUCAAUCAGAAAGCUAAGCAAAAAUUUAAAUCCACAAGAUCUGAGUACUCAUACAAAAAUACGAGAAAGAGUUCAAUAAAAUAAUGUAACAAGAAAAAAGGAAACUGCAUAAGGUUUGUGACCGUCUGUUGAGAUGUUUCCCAUCUGGAGCAUUACACAUUUCUUGCAGUGCAUUGAUCAUGCCAAUUCUCUGGUAAGGAAAUAUUUGACAGCAUUGAACAUUGCUUCUAAAGCAUCUGGAUUACUAGACUUUUGGCUCACACAUCGUAUAAUUGCCAGCGCCCCAACCCUUCUGCCUUCAUCUGCAUGCCCAGCCUGUGGCAAUGCCACUGAAAUAAUUUCGACCGCGUACUUACUUAAAUCAAGGUUGACUGAAUUCAAGAGAAUCCCAACAGAUUCCAGUACAAUCUCAGGGUUACGUUUCAGCAUUUUAACAGCAGAGGGAAGCACAAUGUUUUGAAAAUCUUCAUGUAACAUAUGUCUAAAAAGUGGAUGAAAAGCUUGACUAAGACUAAGACCCUUUGCUGGCUUUUCCCUUGCAUUUAAAAUUGCCCUAAGAUAUAUAUCCAGAAACGUUGGCUGUGAAAAGCAAAGGAUCAGUUAAAAACUUCGGCACAUAAAAACUACAUCAAAUCAAUUUGAAGAAAAAAAAAACAGAAUAAAUAUCCCCUUUCAUACAUGGUCAUGAAACAAAUAAUCUCUCACCUUGCAUUGCUCAAACAAAGAAGAUGAUUUCCUUGAGGUACUUGAGAACUCCAUCAACAACCACACGAACUCAGGACUAUCUUUGCAUGGGAUACGUGCAUCUUUAAGUUCCUCUAUAUACAUUUUGUAAAUGUCUUGUGACGGGAAAGGAAACAAGAAAUAUGAAAUGCUAUGAGCAAAUAAGAACGUAAAUUAGAGAAGGUUCAACGGGCUAAACCUGAGAAAAUAAGUGACCAAAUGUCUUCUCGCAGGCCCUUCGCUCACGGAAAGAUCUUUGCAUAACAAUAUGAAAUAAUGAUGCAUGCACUGUGGCAACUUUACACAAUGCAUUCUUCGAGACUGUAGCAAACUUACUCUUACUUAAAAGGAGACAUGACCACUGGAGAAGUCUGUAGCAGCCAACAUGUGAUUGCACCCUUACUUGUCGUUCCAUGACCUGAACAAGGGCUGCUGCAAAACUUUUCAUUGUAAACCUUUUGUAAUGAUGCCAUCAACAGCUUUCCUUGACCCACGAUCAUCAUAAAUGUACAAUGUUUUAAACAUAUUAUAUCUACCAACAGCAAUGCAGGCUCUGUAUCCAUUUCU